This is a non-coding RNA of Vicugna pacos (alpaca), 699 nucleotides long. The record is from RefSeq and is a predicted model, not a curated record. Lineage: Eukaryota; Metazoa; Chordata; Mammalia; Artiodactyla; Camelidae.
UAGAAAAUUGUUAGGGUCAAAGGGCAUAAUCCAAAGAGUUUGGAAAAAUGCUUUCAAAGUUAGUAAAUAGUCCUUUUUCUCUACCCAGAACCUUUUGUGGGUUCUGUUAGUAAACUUCACCUUGAGCCAGAAGAUACUGUGAGUUAUUUCCCAGGUCUUACUUGAGGAAGAUUUUUGGUGAUAAAUUGCCCACGUUAUGACUGACUACUUCAGAGUUUGGUUACUUUUGAACUUACUCUUGCUGGCCUACUUUCAGAUGAAUACAUAGCAUCUACAUUAAAUCAUUAGUUUUCUUUCAGACAAAUGACCAUUGCAAGUUUAAUAAAACAAAUUUAAUUCAAAUAAUAUAAGAAAAUGAAGAUUUAAGAUAUUCUUAAAUAUUGUUUCUCUUUCAGAAUGGCCAUCUUAACUCUAGAAGAAUACCAGAUCUGGAGUGUGAAAAAUGUUCUUGCCAAUGAGUUUUUGAAUCUACUUUUCCAGAAAUUGACAAGCUGAUUCUAAAUACAUAGAGAAGCUUGAAGAGCCAACAAUAGCCAAGAUGAUAUUAAAGAACAAUGUUAAAGAACUUACUAUAAAACAAUAUUAAGACUAUGUGAUAACUACCUAAAGUUAGACAUAUAGACCAAUGGAACAGUAUUGAAUUAAACCCUGUACCAUACAUGAACAGUAAUUUUAGAUAGAUUAUAAAUCUAAUAAAUU